AGCAACCGCCUCUUCUUUUGCAUUUCUUCUCUGCCAUUUUCGUUCUCCCCAAACCUCAUUGACACACCAAAAACGACUUCGAUCACGGCCGUUUUGUAUUCGAAACCUUCGUUUAUGUGCGCGUUUUCGCAUUUGCUAUUCCAUUCGCGUCGUUUCGACAAGAACAAUCACCAAUGGCUGCUGAGCGGCGCAGAUUCAGCAUAGGCUACGCGUUGGCGCCGAAGAAGCAGAGCAGCUUCAUUCGCGACUCGCUCCUAAAUCUCGCUAGUUCUCGCGGCGUGGAUCUCGUGAAGAUUGACCCGACCCGGGCGCUGGCGGAGCAGGGCCCGUUCGACUGCGUACUCCACAAGCUGUACGGCGAGGAGUGGAAGCGGGAGUUGGAGCAGUUUCGCCGUGAAAACCCUAAUGCGGCGAUAAUCGACUCGCCGGACGCGAUCGAGCGCCUCCACAACCGAAUCUCGAUGCUACAGGUCGUUUCGGAGCUGAGGACGGAGUCGACAAGCGAGACGUUCGGGAUCCCGAAGCAAAUAGUCAUCUAUGACAAGGAGACGCUCUUCGAUCGGCAGGCCUGGGAGAGCCUCAAGUUCCCGGUGAUCGCGAAGCCUCUGGUCGCCGACGGCAGCGCCAAGUCGCACAAGAUGACCCUGGUGUACAACCACGACGGGCUCAACAAGCUCAAGCCCCCGAUCGUGCUCCAGGAGUUCGUCAACCACGGCGGGGUAAUCUUCAAGGUAUACGUCGUCGGCGAGUACGUCCGGUGUGUGAAACGCAAGUCUUUGCCGGACGUGUCCGAAGAGAGACUGGGGGUCUCCGAAGGGGUACUGUCGUUUUCGCAGGUCUCGAAUAUCGCCACGAACGAAAAGGUCGACGACAAGUACUACAAGAUGAUGCAUUUGGACGACACCGAGAUGCCGCCGCAGAGUUUUCUAGCUGAUAUUGCCGGCGGCUUGCGGCGGGCGUUGAAGCUGAACUUGUUCAACUUCGAUGUGAUUCGGGACGCGAGGUCUGGAAACCGGUACCUUAUAAUUGACAUCAAUUACUUUCCUGGGUAUGCGAAAAUGCCGUGUUACGAGGCCGCUUUGACGGAUUUCUUCUUGGAUGUGGUGACUAAGAGAGAAAAGGAGGAGGUGAAGUUGAAUAAUUGUGAGAAGGAUAUGAUAAAGAUUGUGAGCAAUAGUACUUGUUGCAGUGAUGGGGAUGAGAUUGGUAGGGAAGAGAAGGAGAGUUCGAGAUAGGUCUGACAUCAACGUAAGCAAUUACCCGUGAAUUGGUGGUGAAUUUGCUGAAGGGAGUGAGUAUUGGGUUUAGGUAGGAGACGGUUUUGGUAUAGUGGAGAAAAUGAGUAGGAUUUGAUGAUGGGUUCUAGUUUUUUAGCCUCUUGACAGCAAUUACAUGGUGUUUUGAUGUUGAUGAUGUAUAUUCCCUCCGCCCAGUUUUACUCUGGAGAUAGGCUUUGGAAAUAGAUUCGUCACGCGUGGGUGACGACCUUCCCAGGCAUAUUCCCAAAGCAAGCAUUUCCAAGGGGAGGCUUGCGUCAAGGUGCAGCAAAAGGAUUUUCGAAUCAACUCGUGCCUCUCUGCUUUUUAACUGAUUCCCAUGACUAAGGGCUAAUUAUAAGCGCAGGUCAUGGCGGUCCAAGUGUACAGGCAAUGCGUACCUCUAUAAGCAGUAGAGUCGCCUUAACCAAAAUCCUGCAUGCUUCCUGCUUCACAAAUCGCCAUCCUUUCAGGCAGCCAUUU
Corylus avellana is the source of this 1739-nucleotide non-coding RNA. NCBI's taxonomy places the organism in Eukaryota, Viridiplantae, Streptophyta, Magnoliopsida, Fagales, Betulaceae. The record is from RefSeq and is a predicted model, not a curated record.